GCGGACGUAGCCCAAACGGCAGAGGCAGCGGGUUCAGGUAUCGCCGAGUGCAAGUUCGAGUCUUGCCGUCCGCA
Molecule: transfer RNA, 74 nt
Filed under: Sandaracinus amylolyticus
Lineage: Bacteria; Pseudomonadati; Myxococcota; Polyangiales; Sandaracinaceae
Rfam family: tRNA
About the family: Transfer RNA (tRNA) molecules are approximately 80 nucleotides in length. Their secondary structure includes four short double-helical elements and three loops (D, anti-codon, and T loops).
Source: Rfam by way of RNAcentral